CCUACGGGAGGCAGCAGUGGGGGAUAUUGCACAAUGGGGGAAACCCUGAUGCAGCGACGCCGCGUGAGUGAAGAAGUAUUUCGGUAUGUAAAGCUCUAUCAGCAGGGACGAAGAUGACGGUACCUGGGGAGGAAGCUCCGGCUAACUACGUGCCAGCAGCCGCGGUAAUACGUAGGGAGCGAGCGUUGUCCGGAAUUACUGGGUGUAAAGGGAGCGUAGGCGGGACUGCAAGUUGGGUGUCAAAUCUACCGGCUCAACCGGUAGCCGCACUCAAAACUGCAGUUCUUGAGUGAAGUAGAGGCAGGCGGAAUUCCUAGUGUAGCGGUGAAAUGCGUAGAUAUUAGGAGGAACACCAGUGGCGAAGGCGGCCUGCUGGGCUUUUACUGACGCUGAGGCUCGAAAGUGUGGGGAGCAAACAGGAUUAGAUACCCUUGUAGUC
Molecule: ribosomal RNA, 439 nt
Filed under: uncultured bacterium
Lineage: Bacteria
Description: partial 16S ribosomal RNA
Rfam family: Bacterial small subunit ribosomal RNA
Source: RNAcentral